UACGGAGGGUGCGAGCGUUGUCCGGAAUCACUGGGCGUAAAGGGCGCGUAGGCGGCGCGGGAAGUCAUCGGUGAAAGUUCAGGGCUCAACUCUGAAUCGGCCGGUGAUACUCUCGUGCUCGAGCACUGUAGGGGCAGGUGGAAUUCCGGGUGUAGCGGUGGAAUGCGUAGAGAUCCGGAAGAACACCGGUGGCGAAGGCGGCCUGCUGGGCAGUAGCUGACGCUGAUGCGCGACAGCGUGGGGAGCAAACAGG
RNAcentral lists this ribosomal RNA (253 nucleotides) under uncultured bacterium. RNAcentral's name for it is "partial 16S ribosomal RNA". It matches the Rfam family "Bacterial small subunit ribosomal RNA", at positions 524 to 776 of the family's 1533-position model. The record is from RNAcentral.